This is an RNA transcript of Balaenoptera ricei (Rice's whale), 8395 nucleotides long. It is a transcript of the gene named collagen type V alpha 1 chain, with no coding region annotated. Lineage: Eukaryota; Metazoa; Chordata; Mammalia; Artiodactyla; Balaenopteridae. The record is from RefSeq and is a predicted model, not a curated record. The transcript is spliced from 66 exons.
GGCGCCCGAGGCGAGGUCCGCACUCCUCGUUCGUCCCCGCGGCCGGCGCAGGACCUCACUCGAGCGCAGCGCCCACGGGGAGCGAGUCGCGGGGCGGCGGCGGCGGCGGCGGCGAGGAGGAGGCCAGAAGGAGUCGGAGGAGGCGGGGGAGGCCAGGGCGAGCGAGCCGAGCGGGGUCCCGGCCGCCCCGCGGGCCAAGGUCGAGCCCUCCCGCCCGUGGGCGAGCGCGCCAGCCGACCCUCCCGAGAGCCACUGCCACAAAGAGAACGGGCCGGCGGCUGCUCCCAUGACUUCCUAAAGCUGUGCCGGCCCCGCUGAGUUGUGCCCCGCGCCCCGUGCGUCCCCGCGCGCCCAACCCGCGCCCGCGCCCCGCCGGCAUGGACGUCCACACCCGCUGGAAAGCGCGCAGGCCGCUCCUCCCGGGCGCCCCGCUGCUGUCCCCGCCGUUGCUGCUGCUGCUGCUGCUGCUGUGGGCGCCGCCUCCGAGCCGCGCAGCUCAGCCAGCAGAUCUCCUGAAGGUUCUAGAUUUUCACAACCUGCCUGACGGAAUAACCAAGACCACAGGCUUUUGUGCAGCGCGGCGAUCUUCCAAAGGCCCGGAUGUUGCUUACAGGGUCACAAAAGAUGCCCAACUCAGCGCGCCCACCAAGCAGCUGUACCCUGCAUCUGCAUUUCCCGAGGACUUCUCCAUUCUAACCACUGUGAAAGCCAAGAAAGGCAGCCAGGCCUUCCUGGUCUCCAUCUACAAUGAGCAGGGCAUCCAGCAGAUCGGCCUGGAGAUGGGCCGCUCUCCGGUCUUCCUCUAUGAGGACCACACAGGGAAACCGGGGCCGGAGGACUACCCCCUCUUCAGAGGCAUCAACCUGUCAGAUGGCAAGUGGCACAGAAUCGCUCUCAGCAUCCACAGGAAGAACGUCACCUUGAUCCUGGACUGUAAAAAGAAGAUGACUACAUUCCUGGACCGCAGCAAUCACCCCGUGAUAGACGUUAACGGCAUCAUUGUGUUUGGCACCCGAAUUCUGGAUGAGGAGGUGUUUGAGGGAGACAUCCAGCAGCUGCUCUUCGUCUCGGACCACCGGGCAGCUUACGAUUACUGCGAGCACUACAGCCCUGACUGUGACACUGCGGUCCCUGACAAGCCCCAGUCUCAGGACCCCAAUCCAGAUGAAUAUUACCCGGAAGGAGAGGGUGAAGGAGACGCCUAUUACUACGAGUACCCCUACUACGAGGACACGGACGACGCGGGCAAGGAGCCCACCCCCACCAAGACACCAGUGGAAGCUGCUCGAGAGACCACGGAGGUGGCCGAGGAGCUGACCCAGCCCCCCACGGAAGCCCCUCCGGUGCCCGACACCAGCGAGGGGGCCGGGAAGGAGGAGGACCCCGGCAUCAGUGACUACGACUACGUGCCCAGCGAGGACUACUACACCCCACCCCCUUACGAGGACCUCAACUACGGCGAAGGCAUCGAGAACCCUGACGAGAACCCCGACCGGGGCGCCCGGGCCGAAGUUCCCACCAGCACGGUCCUCACCGCCAAUGCCUCUAACCCGGAUCCGCCUCCGGAGGAGGGGAUGGACGACUUGGAGGGAGAGUUCACAGAAGAAACCAUCAAGAACCUGGACGAGAACUACUACGACCCCUACUACGACCCCACCGCCCCCCCGUCGGAGAUCGGGCCGGGCAUGCCCGCCAACCAGGGCACCAGCUACGAAGGGAUCGGACCACGGGGCGAGAAAGGUCAAAAGGGAGAACCUGCCAUCAUCGAACCAGGCAUGCUCCUGGAGGGGCCUCCCGGCCCCGAAGGCCCCGCGGGUCUCCCAGGACCUCCAGGAACGAUGGGUCCCACUGGCCAAGUGGGUGACCCUGGAGAAAGGGGUCCCCCUGGACGCCCAGGCCUUCCUGGGGCUGACGGGCUGCCCGGCCCUCCUGGAACCAUGCUCAUGCUGCCGUUCCGGUUCGGAGGGGGCGGCGAUGCGGGCUCCAAAGGACCCAUGGUCUCAGCCCAGGAGUCCCAAGCUCAAGCCAUCCUCCAGCAGGCCCGGCUGGCGUUGAGGGGGCCGGCUGGCCCGAUGGGUCUUACUGGGAGACCUGGCCCCAUGGGCCCUCCCGGGAGUGGAGGUCUGAAGGGCGAGCCGGGAGACAUGGGGCCUCAGGGUCCCCGGGGUUUGCAGGGCCCACCUGGCCCGUCAGGAAAGCCUGGAAGAAGGGGGCGAGCUGGCAGCGACGGAGCAAGAGGGAUGCCUGGACAGACCGGCCCCAAGGGCGACCGCGGCUUCGAUGGCCUGGCUGGGCUGCCGGGAGAGAAGGGCCACCGGGGCGACCCUGGUCCUUCCGGCCCUCCGGGACCUCCAGGGGAAGACGGAGAAAGGGGUGACGAUGGAGAAGUCGGGCCCAGAGGGCUGCCCGGGGAGCCUGGGCCUCGUGGUCUGCUGGGGCCGAAGGGGCCCCCAGGCCCUCCUGGACCUCCUGGUGUGACGGGAAUGGACGGCCAACCAGGCCCGAAGGGCAAUGUGGGUCCCCAGGGAGAGCCCGGCCCCCCGGGACAGCAGGGUAAUCCAGGCGCCCAGGGUCUUCCGGGCCCCCAGGGUGCAAUUGGACCUCCAGGAGAAAAGGGCCCCCUGGGUAAACCAGGUCUCCCAGGAAUGCCCGGUGCUGAUGGACCCCCGGGGCACCCUGGCAAAGAAGGCCCUCCGGGAGAGAAGGGAGGCCAGGGUCCGCCCGGCCCCCAGGGCCCCAUCGGCUACCCAGGCCCUCGUGGAGUCAAGGGGGCAGACGGCAUCCGAGGUCUGAAGGGCACCAAGGGCGAGAAGGGUGAAGAUGGCUUUCCGGGCUUCAAAGGAGACAUGGGCAUCAAGGGAGAUCGGGGGGAGAUCGGCCCACCUGGUCCCAGAGGGGAGGACGGUCCCGAAGGCCCUAAGGGUCGUGGAGGUCCGAAUGGCGACCCGGGUCCUCUGGGACCCCCUGGGGAGAAGGGAAAACUCGGAGUCCCAGGAUUGCCCGGCUACCCAGGAAGACAAGGGCCAAAGGGUUCUAUCGGAUUUCCUGGAUUUCCUGGCGCCAACGGAGAGAAGGGUGGCAGGGGCACACCUGGGAAGCCGGGACCUCGGGGGCAACGAGGCCCAACGGGUCCACGGGGUGAAAGAGGCCCCCGAGGCAUCACUGGGAAGCCUGGCCCCAAGGGCAACUCUGGAGGCGAUGGCCCAGCCGGCCCUCCGGGUGAACGGGGACCCAACGGACCCCAAGGACCCACGGGGUUCCCUGGACCAAAGGGUCCCCCGGGGCCUCCGGGCAAGGAUGGGCUCCCGGGACACCCUGGGCAGAGAGGAGAGACGGGUUUCCAAGGCAAGACCGGCCCCCCAGGCCCCCCGGGUGUGGUCGGCCCUCAGGGUCCCACGGGAGAAACUGGUCCCAUGGGUGAGCGUGGCCACCCUGGGCCCCCGGGCCCCCCCGGUGAACAAGGGCUCCCGGGCCUGGCCGGAAAAGAAGGGACGAAGGGUGACCCAGGCCCCGCCGGCCUUCCUGGAAAAGAUGGCCCCCCAGGGCUACGUGGCUUCCCCGGGGACCGAGGGCUUCCUGGUCCAGUGGGGGCGCUUGGACUGAAAGGCAGUGAAGGCCCCCCCGGCCCGCCAGGCCCCGCGGGAUCUCCAGGGGAGAGAGGUCCGGCCGGUGCUGCUGGGCCCAUCGGAAUUCCAGGGAGACCUGGGCCCCAGGGACCUCCCGGGCCGGCUGGGGAGAAAGGAACUCCUGGCGAGAAAGGUCCACAAGGCCCAGCUGGCCGAGACGGUCUACAGGGUCCCGUGGGGCUCCCUGGUCCAGCUGGCCCUGUGGGUCCCCCUGGAGAAGAUGGAGAUAAGGGGGAGAUCGGGGAGCCGGGACAGAAGGGGAGCAAGGGAGACAAAGGCGAACAGGGUCCCCCUGGGCCUACAGGACCUCAAGGCCCCAUCGGACAGCCAGGCCCCUCUGGAGCUGACGGCGAGCCGGGUCCUCGAGGCCAGCAGGGCCUUUUUGGGCAGAAAGGUGAUGAAGGUCCAAGAGGUUUUCCCGGGCCCCCAGGACCCGUGGGGCUGCAGGGUCUGCCGGGACCUCCAGGAGAGAAGGGCGAGACGGGAGAUGUGGGGCAGAUGGGUCCCCCAGGUCCCCCCGGCCCCCGAGGACCCUCCGGAGCUCCAGGUGCUGACGGGCCGCAAGGCCCCCCAGGUGGAAUAGGCAAUCCUGGUGCAGUGGGAGAGAAGGGUGAGCCCGGCGAAGCUGGAGAGCCUGGCCUUCCCGGCGAAGGGGGCCCCCCGGGACCCAAAGGCGAAAGGGGAGAGAAGGGUGAGUCGGGCCCUUCUGGUGCUGCUGGACCCCCUGGACCCAAGGGCCCUCCCGGAGACGACGGUCCCAAAGGCAGCCCCGGCCCGGUCGGUUUUCCCGGAGAUCCCGGUCCCCCCGGAGAGCCUGGCCCUGCGGGUCAAGACGGUCCCCCUGGUGACAAAGGAGAUGACGGUGAAUCCGGACAAACGGGAUCCCCGGGCCCUACUGGUGAACCAGGUCCAUCUGGGCCUCCGGGAAAAAGGGGUCCCCCCGGCCCCCUAGGUCCCGAAGGCAGGCAGGGAGAGAAAGGAGCUAAGGGAGAAUCCGGCUUGGAAGGCCCUCCUGGGAAGACUGGCCCCAUUGGCCCCCAGGGGGCCCCUGGGAAGCCCGGGCCCGAUGGCCUGCGAGGGAUCCCCGGCCCUGUGGGUGAGCAAGGUCUCCCAGGAGCCCCAGGCCCCGAUGGCCCCCCCGGCCCCAUGGGUCCCCCAGGACUCCCUGGCCUCAAAGGAGACUCUGGACCCAAAGGCGAAAAGGGACAUCCAGGCUUGAUCGGGCUCAUCGGACCUCCGGGCGAACAGGGAGAAAAGGGUGACCGCGGUCUCCCCGGCCCCCAGGGCUCCUCUGGCCCUAAGGGAGAACAGGGUAUCACUGGUCCUUCCGGCCCGAUUGGCCCCCCGGGCCCCCCUGGCUUGCCGGGCCCUCCUGGUCCAAAAGGUGCUAAGGGAUCCUCAGGUCCGACUGGCCCGAAGGGUGAAGCAGGCCAGCCAGGACCCCCUGGCCUGCCGGGCCCCCCGGGCGAGGUCAUCCAGCCGCUGCCGAUCCAGGCGUCCAGGACCCGGCGGAACAUCGACGCCAGCCAGCUGAUGGGCGACGGAGAGGGCGAGCAUUACAUGGACUACGCGGACGGCAUGGAGGAGAUCUUCGGCUCCCUCAACUCGCUGAAGCUGGAGAUCGAGCAGAUGAAGCGGCCCCUGGGCACGCAGCAGAACCCCGCGCGCACCUGCAAAGACCUUCAGCUCUGCCACCCUGACUUCCCCGACGGUGAAUACUGGGUGGAUCCGAACCAAGGCUGCUCCAGGGACUCCUUCAAAGUCUACUGCAACUUCACAGCCGGGGGGUCGACGUGCGUCUUCCCCGACAAGAAGUCCGAGGGGAGUAAAAUGGCCCGCUGGCCCAAAGAGCAGCCCUCCACCUGGUACAGUCAGUACAAGCGAGGGUCCCUGGAUCCGUCCUACUUGUGCCCCGCCCCUGCUGUGGCUGGGGGCCGAGGGGCCAUUCCGGUUGCCGACGGGACUCUGGGCUUCUCCGUUGCAUCGCACACGACCACGCUGGUCCCUGUGUUAACUUCUGGGGAGCCGGUCUUAAAUAGGCCAUCCCGGAGGUGAAAGGCAACUGGCAUCCCUCUAAAGAUCUGGAUGUGAUGCUUUUCUAGCCGGUAUAGAGGCCGAGGCCAUUUGGACCCGAUCGUAUGGGCCCAGCGACUGCUUCCAUGCGGCAGGGUGUUUUCCCUGAACGUCUCGGGAGUUUGAUUUGGGCCCGUUUCUGGAAUCAAGUGCAGAGUUCUGUGCUCCCUUCCCGGCAAGUUCUAGGACUAGGUUCCAGAUGUGGCCGCGUUGCAGGUGCCACGAGAGCCCCCUUUGCUUCCUGCGUUCACUCUUCGGCUAGUGUCCCACCUGGGCCAUCCUUGAAGGACGUCCUUCUCACUCAGAAGCCAGCUCUCGGGUCCACGACUUCGGGCCCGACCCUCUGCCCUCAGUUGGCUCCCCGGGGGUCCCAGGGCCACGUUCCCCCAGGACUCAGAGUAGGGCCUUCCAGCAGCCUCUGCCCGCUGCACUUGGAGACCCCCGUUGCUAGGCCCGGAGGGGCUCCGUGCUCACAAUUAAUAUCUCACGCCCUGUGUCCUUGAUUCCCAGUCACUGCGGCUCUUUCCAGACACUGAAGGUUUGCGCUCACCUUGGCACGUCCGGGGACUUCCUCUCGUCUCUGUGUGGGGACCUCCGGCACCCUCGCCCCCUUUUUCUCCUGCUGUUUCUCCUCUCCUUCACCUCCUCGGUGCUGUCCUCGGGAAGGAGCCGCUGGCAGGCAGAAGGACCUGAAGUGGACGCCCACUCGGGGGGGCAGUGCCCAGGGCACUUGAGCCGGGUGGAUAGACGGGGUGGUGGGCACAGGGGUCAGGAGGAGCCGGGGCCGUGGUCCUUUCUGCAGCCGUGCUGGCGGCCUUCUCCAGACAGGGCCCCACACCCCCAACCCCUUGCUCUGUGGAAGCGGGUAGAGAACACCCACUUUCAGCCGCCAGCCCAGAGCCUGCCUGCUGCUUGGGUCCUGUUUCGCAGACAGUUGACCAAAGAUGGAGGUGAAGGGACAGUCCAGGGGAAGCAUCAGCUCGUCUUUGGCAUUUUCCUGCUGCAUCAUUUCUAGCAGCCUGUGACCAUCAGAGUGGACAGGGCGUAAAUACAGGUCCCUCCCCGAAGAAACAGGUGCUUUUCUGGGCUGUCUGCCCUGGGCAUCCCACGUGAAGGUGCUACUGCAGAGCUGCUUUCCCGCAGGAGGGCGGGGCCUCACGCCGGGGCUCUGGGACUCCAUCGUGGGGCGGGGCUCGGCCGUGCCUGGUCCUUCUCCGCCUGCCUGGCACUGGGGGCUUCAGGUCCUUCUGCGUCCAGCGCUGCCCCACCUCUCUCUGUGCAUGCGUCUUUCCUCCAGUCAGUCACCUUCCGUCCAGGAGGAGCACCCGACGGCCCAGACUGCGGUUGGUAUUCACUCUCUCUCCUCAAGGUCCGGCUGGAAGUCGGUGUCUGGUGGCUGUGUGGGGAGCUGGCCAGCAGCUCUGUGCUCUCCCCGCUCCGGUGGGAAGGGCAGGAUCCCAGGCCUGGCUCACCGCCUUCAGCUCUAAUUACAUAGAUAUCUCUAUACAUACGUGCACAACAUCAACUUAAAUUCUCCCUCGUGUGUUCAGCACGGCUCUUUUAGGGUAGGCUGGGGGCUAGGGUCCGAGACAGAGCAGCGGGGGAGCGGCCGUGUGCAGGGAGGAGAAGCGCGGGUCUCAGAUCCUGACGUCCGUCUGUGCGUCGUCUGUCGGGGAGACGUGAUGGGCCAAGCCUGCUCUGCUGGGUGUGUGAGGAGAGCCUGGCCUCUCACGCUGAGGGCCUUCAGGGAGAGGAGAGACCCGCCUCGUCCCAGGGGCUGAGGACUGUCCCCGCCCCUGCUGUGUCCAGCAGCUCAGAAAGCUGCAGUUCAGAAGACGCAGAAACUGAUCUGUCUCUCGGGACGCCUGGCACUGGCCCGCGCCCGGCUGAGCUCUCAGCCCAGUGUGCAUCCGACCUGUGACGCUGAGAAGCCACUUGAGAACCAGCACUCUCUCCCGGGUGCUGCCCUGGGUUUGCUGGCAGAGAGCGGGGCUUUCAGCGAGGCUCCUGCCACCAGAGCGCCCCGGGCUGCCCGCUCAGUGUGGGCAAGGCUGACCACCCCGGGCCACAGCACGGCCCACUCUGCUUUCCCCUGGAUUCCACGCCCGGGAAGGGGCAAGAAGGGCCUCUCCCCGGUGCCUCCACGAUGGUGCCUGGUCCCUCCAGGCUUCUGGCUCUUGGCCAUAUGUCCUGUGACCCUCUCACAGGCCGGCCUUCCUGUUUUCUGGCCAAGACCCCAUGCCUCAGGCCCCUUCCUCCCCGAAGCCAUCUGCCCUUUCUGUCUCCAAUUCUCGUGGCCCGGGCCAGGUCCUUGUACGUCACAGAGAUCCAGUGGUUUUCAUGUAUUAGCAUGAUCUAAUGAGCACCUUCUUUUCUCCGGCAUCGGGGCACAGUAACGGGGAUGCACAUGCCAAGCCCGUGCCCUCAGGGUCCUCACGGUCCUCACGGUCCAGGGAGGGCUGCAGACCAGGCCCCAGGUGCCUCUGACACAGGAGUCCAGUGCUGGUGUGGAGGGCCUUACAGCCGGUAGGAAAGAUGGACACUGCCGGGAUAACCCCGGCAGGCUUCCUGGAGGCAGAGGCACAUGAGCUGAACCCUGGAGGCUGAAUAGGGACCAACCAGCUCUCCUAUGUGGACACUGAGGGCAACCCCGUGGGCGUGGUCCAGAUGACCUUCCUGCGGCUGCUCAGCGCCUC